Molecule: small nucleolar RNA, 69 nt
Filed under: Drosophila simulans
Lineage: Eukaryota; Metazoa; Arthropoda; Insecta; Diptera; Drosophilidae
Description: snoRNA:GD26532
Source: RNAcentral
GGGAUUCGAAAGUAGGCAUUAUUCUGGUGAUUGAAGCAAUCGCAAAUUUAAACUGAUGUUGCUGAAGGA